UACGGAGGGUGCAGGCGUUAUCCGGAUUCACUGGGUUUAAAGGGUGCGUAGGCGGGCAUAUAAGUCAGUGGUGAAAUCCCCGAGCUUAACUUGGGAACUGCCGUUGAUACUAUGUGUCUUGAAUAUCGCGGAGGUAAGCGGAAUAUGUCAUGUAGCGGUGAAAUGCAUAGAUAUGACAUAGAACACCGAUUGCGAAGGCAGCUUACUACACGAUCAUUGACGCUGAGGCACGAAAGCGUGGGGAGCAAACAGG
RNAcentral lists this ribosomal RNA (253 nucleotides) under uncultured bacterium. RNAcentral describes it as "partial 16S ribosomal RNA". It matches the Rfam family "Bacterial small subunit ribosomal RNA", at positions 524 to 776 of the family's 1533-position model. The record is from RNAcentral.